This 254-nucleotide ribosomal RNA is filed under the name uncultured bacterium. Its description in RNAcentral is "partial 16S ribosomal RNA". It matches the Rfam family "Bacterial small subunit ribosomal RNA", at positions 524 to 776 of the family's 1533-position model. The record is from RNAcentral.
UACAGAGGUCUCAAGCGUUGUUCGGAUUCAUUGGGCGUAAAGAGCGUGUAGGCGGUCCGGUAAGUCGGCUGUGAAAGUCGAGGGCUCAACCCUCGAAUGCCGGCCGAAACUGCCGGGCUAGAGUCCGGAAGAGGCGAGUGGAAUUCCCGGUGUAGCGGUGAAAUGCGCAGAUAUCGGGAGGAACACCAAUGGCGAAGGCAGGCUCGCUGGGACGGUACUGACGCUGAGACGCGAAAGCGUGGGGAGCGAACAGG